ACGUACGCUGGCGGCACGCCUAACACAUGCAAGUCGAACGAAGUAGCAAUACUUAGUGGCAGACGGGUGAGUAACAUGUAGGUAUCUGCCCUUUGGCCUGGAAUAACACGAGGAAACUUGUGCUAAUACCGGAUAAGUCUUUACGGAGAAAGCUUUAUGCACCAUUGGAUGAGCCUGCACUUGAUUAGUUUGUUGGUGGGGUAAUGGCCUACCAAGACUGUGAUCAAUAGCUGAUUUGAGAGGAUGAUCAGCCACAUUGGGACUGAGACACGGCCCAAACUCCUACGGGAGGCAGCAGUGGGGAAUCUUGCACAAUGGAGGAAACUCUGAUGCAGCGAUGCCGCGUGAGUGAAGAAGGCCCUUGGGUUGUAAAGCUCUUUCGUCGGGGAAGAAAAUGACUGUACCCGAAUAAGAAGGUCCGGCUAACUUCGUGCCAGCAGCCGCGGUAAUACGAAGGGACCUAGCGUAGUUCGGAAUUACUGGGCUUAAAGAGUUCGUAGGUGGUUGAAAAAGUUAGUGGUGAAAUCCCAGAGCUUAACUCUGGAACUGCCAUUAAAACUUUUCAGCUAGAGUAUGAUAGAGGAAAGCAGAAUUUCUAGUGUAGAGGUGAAAUUCGUAGAUAUUAGAAAGAACUACCAAUUGCGAAGGCAGCUCUCUGGCUCAUUACUGA
This 670-nucleotide ribosomal RNA is filed under the name alpha proteobacterium IMCC15068. Its description in RNAcentral is "bacterial SSU rRNA". It matches the Rfam family "Bacterial small subunit ribosomal RNA", at positions 29 to 743 of the family's 1533-position model. The record is from RNAcentral. Lineage: Bacteria; Pseudomonadati; Pseudomonadota; Alphaproteobacteria.